AAUUAUGGACAAUGGGGGCAACCCUGAUCCAGCCAUCCCGCGUGUGCGAUGAAGGCCUUCGGGUUGUAAAGCACUUUUGGCAGGGAAGAAAAGGCGCUGGUCAUUACCUGGCGCCUCUGACGGUACUUGCAGAAUAAGCACCGGCUAACUAACUGCCAGCAGCCGCGGUAAGACGUAGGGUGCAAGCUUUAAUCGGAAUUACUGGGCGGAAUACGUGCGCAGGCGGUUCGGAAAGAAGGAUGUGAAAUCCCGGGGCUUAACCUCGGAACUGCAUUCUUAACUGCCGGGCUAGAGUAUGUCAGAGGGGGGUAGAAUUCCACGUGUAGCAGUGAAAUGCGUAGAGAUGUGGAGGAAUACCGAUGGCGAAGGCAGCCGCCUGGGAUAAUACUGACGCUCAUGCACGAAAGAGUGGGGAGCAAACA
Molecule: ribosomal RNA, 422 nt
Filed under: uncultured bacterium
Lineage: Bacteria
Description: partial 16S ribosomal RNA
Rfam family: Bacterial small subunit ribosomal RNA
Source: RNAcentral